GAAAUCUUAUCUCUUUCGAAAAAUAAAGGUAACUACCAAUCGGGUGCUCGAAAUAUGUGGAUCCAUUAAACCUGAAAUCCCUUUAUUUGCGCCGUUGUUACUAUGUCGCGGUGAUAAAUAACGAAGAAAAUUAUCCCUUCCAUUUUACCUUUGCCAGUCGCCUUUCCAAUCUCUACACUGUAGCCCUAGCGUCGCCGCUGCCCAAUCUUCGAGCACUAGAGCCUCCCCACCCC
This 233-nucleotide long non-coding RNA is filed under the name Setaria viridis. RNAcentral's name for it is "long non-coding RNA (SVIR_LNC008770)". The record is from RNAcentral. Lineage: Eukaryota; Viridiplantae; Streptophyta; Magnoliopsida; Poales; Poaceae.